This 404-nucleotide ribosomal RNA is filed under the name Fusobacteriota bacterium. RNAcentral's name for it is "Fusobacteria bacterium partial 16S ribosomal RNA". It matches the Rfam family "Bacterial small subunit ribosomal RNA", at positions 355 to 776 of the family's 1533-position model. Lineage: Bacteria; Fusobacteriati; Fusobacteriota. The record is from RNAcentral.
UGGGGAAUAUUGCACAAUGGAGGGAACUCUGAUGCAGCGACGCCGCGUGAGUGAUGAAGGAAUGCGUUUCGGAAAAGUCUGUUCUAUGGGAAGAAAAGGACUGUACCAGAGGAGAAAGCUCCGGCGAAAUACGUGCCAGCAGCCGCGGUAAUACGUAUGGAGCGAGCGUUGUCCGGAAUUAUUGGGCGUAAAGGGUGCGCAGGCGGCUUUACAAGUUGGAUGUGAAAUAUUGUGGCUCAACCACAAACGUGCAUCCAAAACUGCAAAGCUUGAGUUAAGGAGAGGUAAGUGGAAUUCCUGGUGUAGCGGUGGAAUGCGUAGAUAUCAGGAGGAAUACCGGUGGCGAAGGCGACUUACUGGACUUAAACUGACGCUCAGGCACGAAAGCGUGGGGAGCAAACAGG